CUGUAUAUGUUGUCAGAGAAGAGAAACGUAAAGUUAAUUUUCUGUUCCAUAUUUUGUUUUAAUUAUUAAAUACAAAUUAUUAAAAAUAGGUAUUGUCAAUAAAAUUAUAACAUUUUCAUAAUAAAAUGGAUCCAGCACUUUUGAGAGAACGAGAGCUCUUCAAAAAACGAGCUCUUUCAACACCUGCAGUUGAAAAAAAGAAAAAAGAUCGUGAAAAAGAAACCAUUCGAGAUGAACCAGCUUCAAAGAAACCCAAAACCUCUUCAGGAUCCAAUGCACCAAAAAUGGAUAUUGUCAACUACAAAACGAUGGCAGGAAGUUCACAAUAUAAAUUUGGUGUCUUAGCAAAAAUUGUCAAGCAUAUGAAAACUAGACAUCAAGAAGGUGAUGAUCAUCCAUUAACUUUAGAAGAAAUUUUAGAUGAAACUAAUCAAUUAGAUGUAGGAACUAAGGUAAAGCAAUGGCUUCAAACAGAAGCUUUAAUACAAAACCCAAAAAUAGAAGUGACUUCGGAUAAUCGAUUCUGUUUCAAACCUAUGUACAAAUUAAAAGACAAAAAGUCGUUAACCAGGCUCCUGAAACAACACGAUCUCAAAGGUCUUGGUGGAAUAUUAUUAGAAGACAUCCAAGAAAGUCUUCCUCAUUGCGAAAAACAUUUAAAGAGCUUACAAAAUGAAAUUUUAUUUAUAAAUCGACCUCUAGACAAGAAAAAAAUAGUCUUUUAUAAUGAUAAAACAACUCAACUUCCAAUUGACGAGGAAUUUCAAAAAUUAUGGCGAGCUGUAGCUGUAGAUGCGAUGGAUGAUCAGAAGAUUGAUGAAUAUCUAGAGAAACAAGGCAUUAGAUCUAUGCAGGAUCAUGGACCAAAGAAACUUCCUCCAAUAAAAAGAAAGAAGCCGAAUAAUAAGAGAAAGAAUCUUAAGAAACCAAGAGAUAAUGAACAUUUAGCAGACGUUUUAGAAACUUAUGACGAUAAUAAAUAGAUACAAAGAUUUCUGUUUUGAAAAAAAAUAAUUCUUAAAAAUAAGAGAAGAUUCAUAAAGCUAAUGGACAUAUCCGAAUCUCCAAUGUUGAUUGUUAAUUGUGUAAUGAGUUGAAAGCUUAAGUAAUAAUGAAACAUACAUCGGGGCUCUUAUGAAGUAAAGAGAAGACUUUUCGAUGAAUAUUCAAAUGCGUACUAUGGCUAGAAUCACAAACGGAACAACGUUUUAUCCUCAAGCUUCCUAUUAACAUUUGACCGGGAUUCUUAGCUAAGCUGACUAUACAAACACCAGGCUAUAAAUUUAAAUGUCAGUAAUCAUGAUGUUUUCGUGGGCACGAUCGACGAUAAAUGAUGCCAAAGAACUAAGAGUAGUGUAGUCCAAGUGUAUCUGAUCGUAAGACAGAAAAAGACAGAAUAGCGAUGAGGAAGAAGCAAAAGUACAAGUUCAGUGAUGCGACCAUGGACGCGCGUGUGCUGCAAAUCAGCCAACGUCUCUCGGUAUAAUCCCAUGUUUAUAGAUCGAAACACAUAAAUACAAUUCAACUAAGUGGAG
This is an RNA transcript of Chelonus insularis, 1535 nucleotides long. It is a transcript of the gene named transcription factor IIEbeta, with no coding region annotated. The record is from RefSeq and is a predicted model, not a curated record. The transcript is spliced from 7 exons. NCBI's taxonomy places the organism in Eukaryota, Metazoa, Arthropoda, Insecta, Hymenoptera, Braconidae.